UGAAAGGAGGUGCUAAGUCAAAGAAAAGAUGUAAUUUACAGUUGUAAUAUUUUUAAAAAGGAUGGGUGUCCGUGCAACUCAGAGCAAAAUGUUUGCGAUGUUUUUCUCUGCAUCCUCACCUCUCAUCGGAACACCAAACCAGCGAGCAGAUUCUGCCUCGUAUUAAGUAUCCGCCCGGUGUUAAAAGUUCUUGAUUGUGCAUAAACCAAGGCUGCUACGGGGCGAUUUCCUCUGACCUGAAACAGUCCACCCCAGAGGGGGGAGGAAACUUCCCGUAGCUCAGAACCUUACAAGAUACACCCAGGCACCUCUGGUGCCCAUAAGCAGUGCGCAGUUGCUGGGGAACCGGAGACUCUACUGGAGCAACCUGAAGUUGUGCGGGGAACGGUUACCUUUCUCUUUUCCCCAUAUUUUAACGAGACUCCAUCCUGUGGACUGGCUAUAGAGGGUAGAGGGGUCAUGACUGCCGCCCACCACCAGCAGGCAGGCAAUCCUGCAGAACCCUGAGCUCCACUUUUGGUCACCACCUCCCCCUGCUGUCCGUCUGAGAUCCUGCAGCUUGGCAUGAAGAUGAAACAGACUGUGUUUGCUAUUCUGAACUAGAGCCGGGACCGAGCCUUUGUAGUUCACAACUACCUGUCCUAGUAAGAGUUUAGAUUGCAGGAGAUGGAAGGCUCUCUAAUUAAAGUUUUUAUUACGGGAUAUUGAA
Molecule: long non-coding RNA, 709 nt
Filed under: Rattus norvegicus (Norway rat)
Lineage: Eukaryota; Metazoa; Chordata; Mammalia; Rodentia; Muridae
Description: long non-coding RNA NONRATT032459
Source: RNAcentral